Molecule: long non-coding RNA, 5657 nt
Organism: Chiroxiphia lanceolata (lance-tailed manakin)
Lineage: Eukaryota; Metazoa; Chordata; Aves; Passeriformes; Pipridae
Exons: 4
Source: RefSeq, a predicted model, not a curated record
CAGGUUGAGCCAGGGGAGGUUUAGAUUCAGUAUUAGGAAAAAUUUCUUCACUGAAAGGGUUGUCAAGCAUUGGAACAGGCUGGCCAAGGAAAUGGUGGAAUUACCGUCCCUGGAAGCGUUCAGAAAACAUGUGAGUGUGGAACUUGUGAAAAUACUUUAGUGGUAACACGGCAGUUGGUAGGAUUGAGGUUGGACUUGAUAAUCCUAGAAGUCUUUUCCAACCUAAAGGAUUCUGUGAAUGUACUGGCUUCAAUUCUACCACUUUAGUGGCCUUGGGCAAAUGAGUUAGUUACUGUGAUUCCACUCAUUAAACGGUUUUAUUGAGGAUUUGCUGAAUUAUGACCAUGUUUCUUAAUGCCUAAAUUAAAUAAGUAGUGAUGUGAAGCCUGAGGUACAACCUGUUGGAAGCCUUAAUGUUCUACACUGAUAUUUGUGUGGUUCAGAUCCUUUCAGUCCAGAAAAAAUACGUUCAAAGCUAGCUCCAAGCAGAGGAGACAGCUAUAAAUAAUACAUCAUGACUAAGUAGAUUAGAGUUCUUCAUAGGAGUUGGAAGAGGGAGUAAUUCCAACGUCGAGAGUGGCCUACUUUGAUAGCUGUAGUGUAGCUUAUCCCCCUAUUCCUUACUCAACAUGUAUGAAAGAUGGAUAUCUAAGUUCUGGAGGUGACUGGUGGCACAUCUACUUUAUGCCUGUCUGCUGAUACCAGUGCUGCUGAAUCUGAGGGUGUGGCACUGUCAGGAAUUUCCUUAAUGAAAGAGGGCAUAAUUGCACAAAAUGUGUGUGUUUUGAGCAGUGUUGAUUUUGGAUGAUCUAAGACAACUCUGAAACAGGGCUGUCUUAUCUCUACUUGGCAUUCACUAUUGCUGCUUCUGGAAGUAAUGUACUGAGAGUUCAAAAGUCUUCAGCACAUUUUUUUUUGGUGUGGCAUCAUUGGUACUUAAAACUGUGAAGCUGAGGUUCAGCAUGCUGGCGACACAGAUCUCACCAUAGCCUGAGAAGAAGAUUGAUGUGUUAAAAAUUAAUUCACAUAGUGACUGCUGAGUGUGUGGGCGUUUGGUGUGCUUGCUGCUGUUCAAAAACGCUUUGCAAGUUGCCUUCUGUUUCAGAGAAAGAUUAGUUUACCUUUGCUUUAGUAUAGAUUCUGUUGUAUCAUAAUAGAGAAAUUGAUGGUUCCUGGAAUAAAUGUUUACACUUAAUAGUCAAAAUUUCACACAUUUUCCAGUACAAAUGAAGGUGUGCAACUUGCAGUUGCAGAAGCUGUUCUAAAAGAAGAAAAAAUCUCUGCUUACUCUGUUGUAACAUACAUCUCAGCAGGAUUAGGUGUGUAGUAUCUUUGUUGUCUUUGGCUCUUUCUCUCUAAACCUCCAGGAAAUCUGAAGACUGAAACCUUUGAUAGGGGAAUUCUGUGAACUAAAGUCACCGAAGUGUUGAUUUGUGAUGUCUUUUCCUCUUCCUGUCCAUCAGAACGGACUUUCAAAAAAAUUCCAGUUUUUUUAAGUGCCUUCCUAAUGGCCAACAACUUGUCUAUCUGCUGUUACCCUAUUCAUUAUUAACUGAAAAUGUUAAAUAAUCAUAAAAAUGCUGUAUUUUAUACUGCUGCUACAAACAGGUGAUGUAAGUGAACUGAUGCUGAAAGGAAGAUGUUUUUCUCUUCUGUUUUCCCACUGAAUGAAGAAGUAACAAUUCAACCCUUUGGGCCUCGUUUCUGUUCUUCACAGGUCUGGGUAUUCAGUUUCAGCUUUGCUGAUGCUUUUAGCUGUGCAGUUGGGCCUCUCCCAGCUCGGUGCUUAAGAGAUAUGAAAGAAACCUAUUGAUGCAUUCUGGAUCUACUGUUGAAAAACAUGCCAGGAUGUCUGUAUUUCAGAAGUACAGUAGUCCACAGAUCUGCUAUAGGUGCAAAGUGUCAAGAGGAAUCUACUGGACAGUUCUUUUCUAGAAAUUGCCCAAAGAAGAACCUAUGCCAGUAACGAGCAUUCAGGAAUUCCGUGUCAACUCUUAACCUGCAUUUUCUUCACCAUGUUUUUGUGGAAGCUGUACAGAAAAGUAAAAUGAACGUCUCUUUGACAAUGGUGUAAUACUCAUAAGCUGACAAUUUCAGAUUCAUCAACUGGCAAGGAACAUGUGACAAGAUGCCUUUUUGGAUGCUAAUCUACACUUGUGCAACAGGAUUGUCAUCUCUACGUGCCUUGGAACAUCUUAGGCGUAGGAGUCAGGGGCUUGAAUGGAUUAGGCACUGGCAGAGACGUAGAUUUUGGCAGUGCCUUGAACUAGGACGUGAUAAUCUGCAUGAUGCAUGCGAGUAGAAUAAACAUGGAAGAGAAGUCUUAAAAUGUUGAAGGCACUUCCAUAGAAAGGAGAAUUAUUGAUGAGUAUCUGAACAGUGGUAAAGAUGUUUCCAAGAUGACACUGGUGUCCCACAUUGGUGUACAACUGGAAUAGAUGAGGCAAGAAAGACGUGGGACAUCUACAGCUUGACUCCAUUUUACAGAAGCAUCAGCACAGAGAUAAAGCAGCUUUGCCCCAGAGCUACAGUGCAAGUCUGAAAUGGAGCUGGAAACUGAACCGUGACAUCCAGAGACCUAAGUCUGUGGCUGAACUACAAGCCUGUCUUAUGUCAUGAGGAUUUAGACAAGAACUGUCACUGGAUAAAGAAGAGGAGAAGCACUGUGAAGCAUUACACUCUUGCUUUGUGGUGAUUUUUGCACUAAAAGUUCUCUUCCUUGUCUGUUUACCCACAACACCUCCCAGACCAUCACAUCGAUCCUUCUUGCUCCUACAGACCUUGUGGCUGAGGUUCCCAGAUAGUACCUGAGGAGCAGUUGGGUUGUAUAAGCGGUGAUGUCCUGAGGCUUUUUGAGAGCAGAACUUCCAAAUUAAUACUUUGGGGCUUAAUUUGUUCAGUAAAACUGUUUCAUGCAUUCCUCAUGCUGUAGCAUUUCUUACCAUGUGUGGACAAUUGUAUCACUGAGAACAGAACUCCUGCUUGUUCUCUAAACAGCAUUGGAUGAGAGAAAGAGGAGAGAUCUGGUCUUUUUUUCUUAGUUCAUUCAUUGCUGCCACAGUAACAGCAUGUCCUGUGCUGGAAGAGGCAGUCACUGGAAUGGAUAGGAGCUGGUGAUACUUCUUUUGGUAAAUUCUCAUAAAUCAGGAAGUGUGUACCUCACAGUUGUGGCCAAACUGCAGUCCAGACCUUUAGUGUUCGGUUUUCUGUGGACUGAUCUCACUUCUUGCUCCUGGCUUUAGUAAAUCAGUCUUUUGUCUUAUCAUAUCAGGGUAUCAGGUUAAUCUUGUUGCUGUUUUCCAUCACACGACCACAUUUCCUGGUGGAAAUAGGAAUCAUGAAGUGACCCUAAAACCAAGUAUCACUUUUGUACUUCUAAAAGACGACAGUUGAUAUUAAAUACUUCUUUUAUACCCCUGAAGGGUGCUUUGUCUUUAGAUCAUGGAAUAGGCCUAUGGGGAGAAUUUUCAUGUGAAAGAUGUCAUGCAGAAAUUUAGCAGAAACUAAUAAGUGAGGUGUUGGGAACAUUAAAUGGUGUAGGUUGCAUUUUGAAAUCAGUAUUGCGUGGACUGGCUACUGGUGCAGUACCACCAUCUGAUGUAUGAGGGAGUGAAUCAUCUGGCUUACAUGUUUAGUACUUAAGAAACUAAAGGUAGUUCAUGUAGUUCAGCUAUGGUGUGAAGUGAUCUCCAGCAGUGAUCGCCAACUGUGUAGAAUGGCAAUGGUUUCUGCCCACUAGAAAUGAAUUUCCAGGAAAGCACAUGACUUACUUUGUUCACCUUGCUUUUGCUAAUAGAAAGAAACUGAGAGCUUUUAUCAGCGGUAACAGGUUUUGCAUUGAGUGAGGAUCCUUGUCUCAUAGCAGAUGUACUUAUUUGCAUAGGAGUGAGAUAGUUUCCAGUGGGUUCAGCUAAUUCAGCUACUAUGUGCCAUUUCCUGAUGAGGAGUGUAGAGGGAGCUGAAAUGAUCUGCUGUGCAAACACAGAGAACAGGUAUAUGCAAUGAGCUUGGCCAAGUAUGUUUAAGCAUCUUGAGCUGGUGGGGUAACUUUAUUCUGAUAGAAUGAAAAGUUGCCCUCUUAAAGCUCUUUAAUGAGAAUUCACUAUAAAAUUUGACACUUAGUCUUAAAAAAAAAACGUUUUCCAGUGUCAUGGUUUUCAGGUGAGAAAAUAAUCUUUCCUUUAACCAACAGGACAGGAUAGUGGAUGCUAGAUUUCUGUAAGGAGUGUGGGAUGCUUUUAGAUCACUUAAGAGUUGCCUUUAUCUCUGUAGAAGAUUAUCAGUCAUGUCGGUUGCUGUGUUUCAGCCAAAGUGGAGUUUGCCAAAAUUGCAAGAGGUGUAACUUUUUUUUAGUGGUGAUGAGACCCAAAGUUGAACCUAGGAAAUUGAAGUGUCUUUCCAGGGUAAUGUUCACCCAGCUGCCUUGGUUUGUCUUUGGUCUGUGUAACCAAGGCAGAAACUUGGUUACAUUGGAAACCCGGCUUUUAAAACAUAGUAGAUCUGAAUUUCACUGGUUAGAAACACAAAAAUAAUAUCUGUGGAUCUUGUCCUAGCAGACUGUGGAAGUUACGUCCUGUUUUUCCUCUAGGAUGAGUUGCUGAAACAGUCCUGCUCCCUUUUAUAGUGGCAUUCUGCCCAUCCCUUGUUAGAGAAGCCACCCAGGGAAGGAAGAGCUCUACCUGUAAGUGAGAGUGGUGUGACAAGUACAGAAGUUUGUGCUUCGUGGCCAAUUGAGCUUCCUUUUUAUGUUCACUGUCAUCUUCCCCUGCUGUUUUCUGUUGCCAACACUAGAUGUUUUUUUCAUGUUUAGGAAUCAGGAAUAUCUCAAAUCUUACCCAAAUUUUAAAUAAUUUCCAGUUCUUUGUCUCCAGUACCCCAUGGGUGAGAUAUCCCUCUGGGCAUACCUCAAAGGUCAGAUGAGUUUUUUUAAGCAGAACUUGGCAACUGCACUCUCCAGGUGGGAAAAAUAAAGUGGACUUUCAUGUAACAAUAAAUGUACAUAAGUAAUUUGAUAGUAUUCUUGUCAAAAUAAAUGGUACAACCAGUGGGGCAUCAAGGCGAGUUUCAUCUGAUUCAUUAAGGCAAUUAGCCAGAGGUGCUGCUAGCCAGGAACUGAUAAGAAAAACAGAUUUCGUUCUAAGAGUUUGGCUGAAAUUUUAAUUGCACUUCUCCCUGUGUUAGUCAAGAAAAUUACUUUCAGUUUAGAAAUGAAUACUGAUAACUCUAGAGAGAAGUCCUGAUGCAGCAUCCUGCCCCCACUGGCGGUGCUUUCAGAAGACACAAGGUGGCAGUCGGGGCAAGUCUGCACCCAGCAGAGGGCUGGCAACCAGUGAUCAGGAAACAGGCAUUUUGCAGGGGUUUUGGCUUCCCUUUCAAAUUUUGAACUUGAUUCUGUAUGACUCAGUCUAGUUAGACACUUCAAGGAGACAGGCUGAGGCCAUGCCUGUUGCAAGAUGCCACUACCCUGCCACCCUGCCUGCUGUGCUGAUACAUCAGCCCAAUAACAGACAUGAAGUGUGGGCUGUGAAUUUCACAGUGAUUGUGGUUUCUAGUGAACCCUGAAAUCUGGCAAAUGUUACAACCUGGGCAUUCUUCUAGAUGCUCUCUAGCCACGCUCCCUGUGCUGUUUCAAGGGCUGUUGCUCAGCUCUCUGAUGU